AGAAUCAACGCUGGCGGCGUGCCUAACACAUGCAAGUCGCACGAGAAAGGGGAGCAAUCCCUGAGUACAGUGGCGCACGGGUGAGUAACACGUGAAUCAUCUACCUCCGAGUGGGGAAUAACUGAGAGAAAUCUUAGCUAAUACCGCAUAAUACCCACGGGUCAAAGCAGCAAUGCGCUUGGAGAGGAGUUCGCGGCAGAUUAGUUAGUUGGCGGGGUAAUGGCCCACCAAGACGAUGAUCUGUAUCCGGCCUGAGAGGGCGCACGGACACACUGGAACUGAAACACGGUCCAGACUCCUACGGGAGGCAGCAGUGGGGAAUUUUGCGCAAUGGGGGAACCCUGACGCAGCAACGCCGCGUGGAGGAUGAAGCCCCUUGGGGUGUAAACUCCUUUCGAUCGGGAAGAUAAUGACGGUACCGAUAUAAGAAGCCCCGGCUAACUUCGCGCCAGCAGCCGC
RNAcentral lists this ribosomal RNA (459 nucleotides) under uncultured bacterium. RNAcentral's name for it is "SSU rRNA". It matches the Rfam family "Bacterial small subunit ribosomal RNA", at positions 26 to 518 of the family's 1533-position model. The record is from RNAcentral.